Molecule: transfer RNA, 67 nt
Filed under: Cordylochernes scorpioides
Lineage: Eukaryota; Metazoa; Arthropoda; Arachnida; Pseudoscorpiones; Chernetidae
Description: tRNA-Gly
Rfam family: tRNA
About the family: Transfer RNA (tRNA) molecules are approximately 80 nucleotides in length. Their secondary structure includes four short double-helical elements and three loops (D, anti-codon, and T loops).
Source: RNAcentral
CCAUCGGUGGUUCAGUGGUAGAAUGCUCGCCUGCCACGCGGCCCGGUUUCGAUUCCCGGCCGAUGCA